RNAcentral lists this ribosomal RNA (52 nucleotides) under uncultured bacterium. Its description in RNAcentral is "partial 16S ribosomal RNA". The record is from RNAcentral.
UACGCCAACGACGAAGGAGGACGGACCGUACGAGUAGGUCAUGAUUGGGGUG